GGGAGGGAAAGGGGAAAUUCCUUGGUGUAGGGGGGAAAAGCGUUGAAUAUUAGGGGGAACCCCAGUGGCGAGGGCGCUUUUUUGACUGUAACUGCGGCUGAGGCUCGAAAGCGUGGGGAGCGAACAGGAUUAGAUCCCCCGGUAGUCCACGCCGUAAACGAUGAAUGCUAGGGGUAGGAGGGAUCGACCCCUCCUGUGCCGGAGUUAACGCAAUAAGCAAUCCGCCUGGGGAGUACGGCCGCAAGGCUGAAACUCAAAGGAAUUGACGGGGACCCGCACAAGCAGCGGAGCAUGUGGUUUAAUUCGAAGCAACGCGAAGAACCUUACCAGGGCUUGACAUAUGGGUAAAAGAUCUAGAGAUAGAUCCCUCUCUUCGGAGAUAGCCAUACAGGUGGUGCAUGGUUGUCGUCAGCUCGUGUCGUGAGAUGUUGGGUUAAGUCCCGCAACGAGCGCAACCCUUGUCACUAGUUACCAGCACUUCGGGUGGGGACUCUAGUGAGACUGCCGGUGAUAAACCGGAGGAAGGUGGGGAUGACGUCAAAUCAUCAUGCCCUUUAUGUCCUGGGCUACACACGUGCUACAAUGGUCGGUACAGAGGGCAGCAAGACUGCGAAGUUAAGCGAAACUCAAAAAGCCGAUCCCAGUUCGGAUUGUAGGCUGCAACUCGCCUACAUGAAGUCGGAGUUGCUAGUAAUCGCAAAUCAGAAUGUUGCGGUGAAUGCGUUCCCGGGUCUUGUACACACCGCCCGUCA
RNAcentral lists this ribosomal RNA (752 nucleotides) under uncultured bacterium. Its description in RNAcentral is "bacterial SSU rRNA". It matches the Rfam family "Bacterial small subunit ribosomal RNA", at positions 650 to 1399 of the family's 1533-position model. The record is from RNAcentral.